ACCUACUGAAGAAUAGAUGAAUGCCACAAUAAAAAAUAAAACUGCCAUAAAGUACAUUGAUGUAAUUACUACAUCCAUAAUGUGUGUUUCCUUUGUUUUUUUUGAUUUUCAAUCAUUU
This 118-nucleotide non-coding RNA is filed under the name Ctenophora environmental sample. Lineage: Eukaryota; Metazoa; Ctenophora. The record is from RNAcentral.